UACGUAGGCAGCAAGCGUUGUUCGGAAUUACUGGGCGUAAAGAGUGUGUAGGCGGUGCUCUAAGUUCGGUGUGAAAUCUCCCGGCUCAACUGGGAGGGUGCGCUGAAAACUGGGGGUGCUCGAGGGUGGGAGAGGUAAGCGGAAUUCCUGGUGUAGCGGUGAAAUGCGUAGAUAUCAGGAGGAACACCUGUGGUGUAGACAGCUUACUGGACCACUUCUGACGCUGAGACACGAAAGCGUGGGUAGCAAACAGG
Molecule: ribosomal RNA, 254 nt
Filed under: uncultured bacterium
Lineage: Bacteria
Description: partial 16S ribosomal RNA
Rfam family: Bacterial small subunit ribosomal RNA
Source: RNAcentral